RNAcentral lists this ribosomal RNA (271 nucleotides) under uncultured Thermovirga sp. RNAcentral's name for it is "partial 16S ribosomal RNA". It matches the Rfam family "Bacterial small subunit ribosomal RNA", at positions 1113 to 1382 of the family's 1533-position model. Lineage: Bacteria; Thermotogati; Synergistota; Synergistia; Synergistales; Thermovirgaceae. The record is from RNAcentral.
AGUUGCCAUCGGGCGAGCCGGGCACUCUGGAGGGACUGCCGGCGACAAGCCGGAGGAAGGUGGGGAUGACGGUCAAGUCAUCAUGGCCCUUAUGUCCAGGGCGACACACGUGCUACAAUGGCCGGCACAGCGGGAAGCGGAGGGCGACCUGAGCGGAUCCCUUGAAAAGCCGGUCCCAGUUCGGAUUGCAGUCUGCAACUCGACUGCAUGAAGUUGGAAUCGCUAGUAAUCGCGGAUCAGCCAAGCCGCGGUGAAUACGUUCCCGGGCCUU